CGCAUCUGUGCAUGCAGCAUAUCAAUAAGCGGAGGAAAAGAAACUAACAAGGAUUCCCCUAGUAAUGGCGAGUGAAGCGGGAAGAGCUCAAAUUUGAAAUCUUAAAGGGUUUCCCUUUACGAAUUGUAGUUUAAAGAAGUGUUUUCUGUUGAGGUUUUGGUAAAAGUUCUUUGGAAUAGGACAUCAUAGAGGGUGAGAAUCCCGUAUUUGACCUUUACUUUCAACUUUGUGAUACACUUUCAAAGAGUCGGAUUGUUUGGGAAUGCAGUCCAAAAUGGGUGGUAAAUUUCAUCUAAAGCUAAAUAUUGGCGAGAGACCGAUAGCGAACAAGUACCGUGUGGGAAAGAUGAAAAGAACUUUGAAAAGAGAGUUAAACAGUACGUGAAAUUGUCAAAAGGGAAGCGUUCGACACCAGUGUUGUUUUUCUGAAAAUCAAUUAAAGAACUGUUUAUGCUAAGUUGUUUAGACUUUAUUAGCUAACUGUUUAGUUUUGAGCUUUUCUUUAACGCACUUUUCAGUUAACAAGUCAACAUCAAUUUCUUUUGCUGUAAAAAAGCUUGAGGAAGGUGGCUUGAGAUUCGUCUUAAGUGUUUAUAGCCUCUUGCCUAUGCAGUCGGAGAGAUUGAGGUCUGCAGCGUAGAUCCUUCGGGGCUAAAUACAUUUGUGCUAAGUUAUAACAUUUUAUAGACAACUUGUUGACUAUGAUUUGUCUUGUAGCUUACUCGCUUAUGUUAUUUUACCUACGCUUAGGAUGUUGAACGCGCACAGAGUCUC
This 774-nucleotide ribosomal RNA is filed under the name uncultured Neocallimastigales. RNAcentral describes it as "partial large subunit ribosomal RNA". It matches the Rfam family "Eukaryotic large subunit ribosomal RNA", at positions 26 to 646 of the family's 3401-position model. The record is from RNAcentral. Lineage: Eukaryota; Fungi; Neocallimastigomycota; Neocallimastigomycetes; Neocallimastigales.